UACGUAGGGGUCGAGCGUUGUCCGGAGUUACUGGGCGUAAAGCGCGCGCAGGUGGCUCGUUGCGCCCGGCGUGAAAGCCCCCGGCUUAACCGGGGAAGGUCGUCGGGGACGGGCGAGCUUGAGGGCGGCAGGGGCCGGUGGAACUCCCGGUGUAGUGGUGAAAUGCGUAGAGAUCGGGAGGAACACCAGAGGCGAAAGCGGCGACCUGGACAGGCACUGACACUCAACUACGAAAGCGUGGGGAGCAAACAGG
This 253-nucleotide ribosomal RNA is filed under the name uncultured bacterium. Its description in RNAcentral is "partial 16S ribosomal RNA". It matches the Rfam family "Bacterial small subunit ribosomal RNA", at positions 524 to 776 of the family's 1533-position model. The record is from RNAcentral.